RNAcentral lists this ribosomal RNA (645 nucleotides) under Pseudomonas sp. a2(2015). Its description in RNAcentral is "bacterial SSU rRNA". It matches the Rfam family "Bacterial small subunit ribosomal RNA", at positions 58 to 698 of the family's 1533-position model. Lineage: Bacteria; Pseudomonadati; Pseudomonadota; Gammaproteobacteria; Pseudomonadales; Pseudomonadaceae. The record is from RNAcentral.
CAAGUCGAGCGGUAGAGAGAAGCUUGCUUCUCUUGAGAGCGGCGGACGGGUGAGUAAUGCCUAGGAAUCUGCCUGGUAGUGGGGGAUAACGCUCGGAAACGGACGCUAAUACCGCAUACGUCCUACGGGAGAAAGCAGGGGACCUUCGGGCCUUGCGCUAUCAGAUGAGCCUAGGUCGGAUUAGCUAGUUGGUGAGGUAAUGGCUCACCAAGGCGACGAUCCGUAACUGGUCUGAGAGGAUGAUCAGUCACACUGGAACUGAGACACGGUCCAGACUCCUACGGGAGGCAGCAGUGGGGAAUAUUGGACAAUGGGCGAAAGCCUGAUCCAGCCAUGCCGCGUGUGUGAAGAAGGUCUUCGGAUUGUAAAGCACUUUAAGUUGGGAGGAAGGGCAGUAAAUUAAUACUUUGCUGUUUUGACGUUACCGACAGAAUAAGCACCGGCUAACUCUGUGCCAGCAGCCGCGGUAAUACAGAGGGUGCAAGCGUUAAUCGGAAUUACUGGGCGUAAAGCGCGCGUAGGUGGUUCGUUAAGUUGGAUGUGAAAUCCCCGGGCUCAACCUGGGAACUGCAUUCAAAACUGUCGAGCUAGAGUAUGGUAGAGGGUGGUGGAAUUUCCUGUGUAGCGGUGAAAUGCGUAGAUAUA